This 4960-nucleotide long non-coding RNA is filed under the name Sorghum bicolor (sorghum). RNAcentral describes it as "long non-coding RNA (SBIC_LNC003033)". Lineage: Eukaryota; Viridiplantae; Streptophyta; Magnoliopsida; Poales; Poaceae. The record is from RNAcentral.
AAGCUUUGUUAUAUAUUUGAGCUCCACAGAAUUCAAGAAUCAAAAGAAGACUAGCAGACGGUGUACAUCCUAAUUGUUGUCUGGGUGCUGCGACAUUCAAAUACACCUCUGCCACCUGCUAGCUACAUCAGAAGAAAUUACAUCAAAAUCCAGCUUGGGGGAGAGCACCCCCAUUUAUCCAGCUAAGUGUUUCUACUCGUGUUUAUACUUUACUCGAAUAAUAAAAAGAUGCAUAAUCAUAAAAAUCCAAAUAAAGAUUUUGUGCUUAUAUAUAUGUAUAUAUCUUUGCUUAGUUUGCUAAAUAAAUAAAUAAAUAAAGUCUGCUAUGAACCCUCAUGAUAAGAUCUCACAUGGAAAUGAUGAAUAGUUGCUCUGCCAUGACUAGUUCUCAAAAUUGAAUUCCCUCUCAAGUUUAGGCAUGAUUUUUAUGAAUUAAGAUUUGCUCUAAACCUGAACUUGUGGGAAGAGUACUUGAUCUAAAGUCUAAGUCGUUAACGGAUACGAUAUGGGAAGGUUGAGCUGCUGUUUAUCUGUUCCUAGAGAUGCUAGAAUUCUAGAGAAUUUUAUCUUUGAAAAUCUUUAAAAUGUUGCAUGAUGAGUUCCUGUAUGAUGAGAGUUUAAAAUCCUACCACAGCCAUAUAUACAUGCUUAUUAGACUAUGAACCAUACAUUUAUUUUUUUACUACUUAUGAGCAUUGAGUGUGGUCAAGCUGUGUAGACCCUUAGGAGCUUGUCAUGCGGUUAAAAUCAAGAUUCACUUGCAUGUUCACUCAUACAUGCUGCUUCUACUCCGGAAGUACGCAUCCACAUACAUCCACUAAUUUCCAUCUCCAGAUUCACCCAAAAUUAUUCUACCCCUAUCCAGGAGAGAAUAGCCAAAACCAUUAUCCUAUCCCUGUUAUUCCCCGUGAAAUAAAUGAUCGAGAUAUUUUGGUUACUACCACUUGCUACAUUAUUCCAGGAGGGUGAGUGCUCUGAAAAAAAAAGAGUGAAUACAAGGAAAUAAAAAGGGGCAAGUGCCCGGAACCUCGAAGAAAAGAAAAAGUGAGACGAGAGGUAAAAAAUGGACAAGUGUCCGACAGUAGAAUUAGGGGUACAAGAUACCCACCUAAGAGAAAAGAAAAAGAAAAUAUAGAGCAUCUCAUUCCCCUCAAAAAGCUUCAAAGUGCAAGAAAGGUAUGUAUCCCCUCAAAAGAGCAAAAGUAGAAUUAGACUUUCACCAUUGUUUUCACCAUUAUCACCAUCAUCACCAUACACCUUUCAUUCACCACACAUGCACAUCUUGAUUUGACUUAUUGACUUGUUUCUCUGGAUCCAUGGUUUGACUAUGCAAUAAAUGUCUUAUAAGUAUGUAUACUUUAUCUCCCACCUAUGAGCUCCAGAUAUCAAAGCCUUAUUAGAGUAGGAUGAGAGAGAAGGCAAUGUCACUAUGCCUCAUACCACAAAUACCACAUACUUUGAGAGAAGGCAUAUACCAUCACUGUCUUGGUGAGGAUCCAGAAAUACCACAAAAGAGAGAAUUGAGAGUCAUACAAGGAAUCUCUGAGUUUUAUUUUGAAAAUCUACAAAAAACUCCAGAGCUAUAGCUGAUCAAGAAUAAGAGACAUGGCGCUUGACUAGACCGUUCUAUCUUUUAACUACUAAAGACACAAGUGACGGUUGCAAGCCCCAUGGUGGAAGGUAAUAUGAGUAAGUUUAAAUCUUAACAGUUUACCCUAACCUAGAGAUGAGAUCUUGUUUGAACACAUGUGUACCUUUAAGGCAUGAAUUCCACGAGUUUUGGUGUUUGUCUAUUUCUACACGGGGUUAUCAGGAAAUAUGGAGGAAAGGCCCACACGUCGGGUUUACAUAGAGAUAUUAACAUGCCGUGCAAUUUUCUAUCAUCUAGAAGACUCUAGAAGCCAUUGGAACGAACGAGAAGCCGAGCGGGCUCGGGGGCAGGGCGCCCGCCUAGCUAUAGGAACCAAUCAGGUUCUACUUCGCGGAUCAUGCUCCACCGACCUAAAGGAUUAAGGAAAACCGUGCGAUUAAGGUCGGUUUGGUCCGACGACCCACAUUCAUUUGGAAGGACUAUAUAAGCAGACCCCCUGGCCCCUGGAGGAGGCACCCCCUUGAUCCCUAUUCAUUAUUCAUAGACAGAGCAAAAGCUAGGGUUUGGAGAUGAGAGCUCUCCUCUCAUCUCUAAACUAGAUUAGAUCUAGAUAGCAGCGAGAUGGAGAGCGAGGGAGGAUUGGAGGAGAGGCCGGCCUGUCGGUUCUUCCUCCGGUUGUACUUCGCCAUGAUCAAGCUCUAAUCAAGCUUGCUCAUGGGAUGACUCUGGUAAUCUACUUCUAUUUCAUUAUGCAAUUACUAUCUAUGUUUGUUCUGUUUCACAACUCUUUUGAGUACUUUAAUCUAUAGGACGCUAUAGGUGUGAGUUGUAGUAUAGGUGUAAGCAUGGUGGUUAGACCUAGAUUACUUGUGGAUAUCACCUGUCUAGCCGGAUCGUGUGGUAGGCCGCGUAGGUGACAGUUUCGUUGGUCCACUGUAGUCCACCUCCCGUUAGCAGGACUGUAGGGUUUAUCGGUCUAUGGAUAAGCAUCCUUUGUGGUGUAUUCUUAUCAUGUGAUUCGUCCCAGACAUAGACAUAUCGCUUUGAAGUAGAGAAACCAUAGUUAUCCUCUCUAUUCUCCUACCAUCGCCCAUAUACUAGAUUGCUCUACUCUCUAUUCCCCUAUUAUCACCCAUUGUUAUCUUACCUUUAAUAUUGUUCUUAUUCAAUUCUACCAUCUUUCCUAUUUACACCUACCUAUCUAUCUAGGUUAAGUUAGAGUGUAGAUCAGUUCUCCCGUUUCCCUGUGCAUAUGAUAAAACCUUUAACCGGGUAAAAGCUACAACGGUAUCUGUGUGCUUGCGGAUUUAUUUGUGUGCGUAUAAAUACCAUAGUACAUUCUAGUGCCAUGCUGGGGAUGACAACCUAGUAUUCAAGUGGUGUUAGCAAGUGUCAACAUUUAUUUGUUCCUAGAGAUGCUAGAAUUCUAGAGAAUUUUAUCUUUAAAAAUCUUUAAAAUAACACAUGAUGAGUUCCUGUAUGAUGAGAGUUUAAAUUCCUACCACAGCCAUAUAUACAUGCUUGCUAGACUUUGAGCCACACAUUUACUUUUUACUGCUUAUGAGCAUUGAGUGUGGUCAAGCUGUGUAGACCCUUAGGAGCUUGUCAUGUGGUUAAAAUCAAGAUUCAUUUGCAUGUUCACUCACACAUGCUGCUUCUACUCCGGAAGUACGCAUCCACAUAUACCCACUCAUUUCCAUCUCCAGAACCACCCAAAAAUAUUCUACUCCUAAUCCGUUAGAGAAUAGCCAAAAACAUUCCUAUUUUCCAUGUGAAAUAAAUGCUCAAGUUAUCUUGGUUACUACCACUUGCUAUAUUAUUUCAGGAGAUGAGAGCUCUAAAAAAAAAGAUAAAAAAUACUAGGAAAUAAAAAGGGGCAAGUGCCUGGAACCUCGAAAGAAAGAAAAAGUGAGACGAGAGGUAAAAAUGGAUAAGUGUCCGACAGUAGAUUUAGGGGUACAAGAUACCCACCAGAGAGGAAAGAAAAAAAGAAAAUAUUGAGCAUCUCAUUCUCCUCAAAAAGUUUCAAAGAGCAAGAAAGGUAUGUAUCCCCUCAAAAGAGCAACAAGUAGAAUUAGACUUUCACCAUUGUUAUCACCAUCGUCACCAUACAACAUUCAUUCGCCACACAUGCACAUCUUCAUUUGACUUAUUGAUUUGUUUAUUUGGAUCCAUGGUUUGACUAUACAAUAAAUGUCUUGUAAGUAUGUAUACUUUAUACACUGUUCUAUCUUUUAACUACUCAAGACAGAAGUGACGGUUACAAGUCCCAUGGUGAAAGGUGAAAUGAAUAAGUUUUAAGUCUUGACAGUUUACUCUAACUCAGAGAUGAGACCUAAUUUGAAAGCAUGUGUACCGUUAAUUUUUUAAAUGGUAUUGUAGCAACUUCUGAUCCAUUACUAAGAUUAUCCUUGCUCAGGGACGAGCAAGAGAUAAGCUUGGGGGAGUUGUUGACGGUCCUUAGGUAUCAAAUUUAAUUGUCAAAUAAACAAAGAAAAGGAUCCAAAUGCAAUCGACAUCUAGACUUAGGGUUUUAUCUGACAGAUUUCCACGAGUUUUGGUGUUUGUCUAUUUCUGCGGGGGGUUAUCAGGAAAUAUGGAAGAAAGGCCCACACGUCGGGUUUACAUAGAGAUAUUAACGUGUCGUGCAAUUAUCUUACAUCUAGAAGUGUCCAGAAGCCACAGGAACGAACGGGAGACCGAACGGGCUCGGGGGCAGGGCGCCCGCCCUCCCCCCUUGGGCGCCCGCCCUGGCCUCGGGGCCAAUCACAGCCAACUUCGCGGAUCAUGCUCCACCGACCUAAAGGAUCAAGGAAAACCGUGCGAUUAAUGUCGGUUUGAUCCGACGGCCUACGUUCACUUGGAAGGACUAUAUAACCAGACUCCCUGGCCCCUGGAGGAGAGGACAUCUGACCCCUAAUUCAUUAUUCAUCUUGGGAGAAGAAGCCUCUGAUCAAGCCCUAGAGCCACCACAUUAAUUAGAUCUCUAGUUUAGCAUAGCUACAUAGGAUUAGAACUAGAAGGAAUCAAUCUUCGAUUGGUUUCCUGAUCUGUCAAGAGGAUUCUUGGUAAUUCUCUAUUGUUCUUCAAUUGUUCAUCUUUGUUCUUCAAUAUUAUGAAUAUGACUUUGCUCUACUUCAGUAUAUUGCUUAUGACUUUGCUCUACUUGUUUAUAUUUGCAAUUAUAUUUUUCUUAGUUUAUCAUAGUUAUGUACUUGGCUUAGUUACAUUGGAUUUAUAUACAUGUUUAGGAUCGUAUAGCAUUUAUCCAUUUGUACACUGGGUAAAUGAUAAGUAUUGUGUAGGCGUGGUGCCUAUACCAUAUUUAUCUACGAUUGUACCUUAUAUGCCAGAUCGAGGGAUAGUUCG